Long non-coding RNA from Manis pentadactyla (Chinese pangolin), 1029 nucleotides. RefSeq lists it as uncharacterized. The transcript is spliced from 2 exons. The record is from RefSeq and is a predicted model, not a curated record. NCBI's taxonomy places the organism in Eukaryota, Metazoa, Chordata, Mammalia, Pholidota, Manidae.
ACCCCAUAAACAAAAAAUAGAAUCCUGAUGUAACCUACAUCUAACCACAUGGAAAACUCCCCCACACAUCCCCCUUCCAGGUGGCCACCAGUCAGGACUCCUGGGUUCAUCAGUCCCUUCCCUUUAAUUAUUUUUGCAUCGUUAAAGUGUGCUUGUGUGUGUAUUCAUAUGCAUCUAUCUUACAUUCUUUUAACUGCAUAAAAAGAAUUAUCAUGGUGUAUGUAACUCCCUGGGACUUGCUUUUUUUUUUUUUUAAUAUUGAUAAAAUUUAUAUUGUUGCUUGCUGUGGUUCAUUUGCUUCAACUAUUGUAUAUAAUUUUCCCUCCUAUGAAUAUCCGUUAUUUAUCCAAAACUUUGGGUUGUUAGGUUUGCUUUGGAGUAAUCUUAUGCAUGUUUCCUGUUGUACAUUUGCAGGAACUUGAGUAUACUCCCAAAAGUGGAAUUGCUGGGCUAUAGAAGAGUCUGAGAUGUUCUUUAGGAGAUCUUCCACCUGGGGCAAGUUUCCUUCUGCCAGAGGCAGAUCCUUCAGUGUGUGUCUGCUGGGAGCAAACGAGUUUUUGUCUAAAAAUGUCUAUUUCAACUCCACUCUGUAAAGAUGUCCUUAGUGGGUGUGAAUCUUUCCACACAUGGAAGAUAUAUCAUUGGACUGUCUUCAAGCUCCCAUUAUUGCCGAUGAGACAGCUGUUAGUCUGUUCCGCAGAAAGUAUUGUCUUUAAAAUUUAAAUUUAUUUUCUCUCUGAUUUAGUUUCAGCAGUUUCACUGUAUGGGUUUAGGCAUGGAAAUUAUCUAUUUGCUGCUCCCUCUCUCCCCCUGAACCCUUCCUAGAAGGGGCUGGCCCCCUCUCUGGAACGUGAUGUGCAUACGCACGCCUGGAGAACCUUCCCAAGGGUCUGUGGCUCUAGGGACUCACUCUGGGUCACCAGGUGGUCAGCAGCCUCUCCUGAGCGUUUGUCUUUUCCAGGUUUUGUCUCUUUAUCUGACCUAUGUUCAAUGGACAGAGUCUAAUAAACCUUCCCAUGGAAUUCUUGA